Paramuricea clavata is the source of this 281-nucleotide non-coding RNA. Lineage: Eukaryota; Metazoa; Cnidaria; Anthozoa; Malacalcyonacea; Plexauridae. The record is from the annotation of a GenBank genome assembly.
CGAAAAGCCUAUGAAAACGUUACAUUUUUCUCUGUUGGUGCUGUUCUUGCUUCAUUAUGAAUUCAUUUUUACUCCCAUGAGAGUUCCAUGGAAUUUCCAUGGAAUUUGUGCUUUCGAGUUGUUUGUGCUGAAACGCAUUUUCUCGUAUAAUACUCCGUACACUUUGAAAUGGCGAUGCCACGAUGCUACGAGUUCCUCCGUAGCAACAACAUAAACUUGGUUCGCCAAAGUUUCACGAAAGAAUAUCCAGAUGUACGAUGCCCUUCACGUGCGAAUACGUG